Molecule: small nucleolar RNA, 106 nt
Filed under: Olea europaea subsp. europaea
Lineage: Eukaryota; Viridiplantae; Streptophyta; Magnoliopsida; Lamiales; Oleaceae
Description: Plant small nucleolar RNA R71
Rfam family: Plant small nucleolar RNA R71
About the family: R71 is a member of the C/D box family of snoRNAs containing the C (UGAUGA) and D (CUGA) box motifs. Multiple nearly identical copies of this snoRNA have been identified in Arabidopsis, and it is thought to function as a 2'-O-ribose methylation guide for 18S ribosomal RNA.
Source: Rfam by way of RNAcentral
AUCCCAUGAUGUGGACACUUCCGUAGCAUAUUUUUAAAUCUAUUCCAAGCUUAUCAAAAGAUUUGGAUUCUUCUUGACGAAAGAUGGAUAUGUCAUGCUUGAGCUU